This 1527-nucleotide long non-coding RNA is filed under the name Oncorhynchus mykiss (rainbow trout). RNAcentral describes it as "lncRNA (ENSOMYG00000049736.1)". Lineage: Eukaryota; Metazoa; Chordata; Actinopteri; Salmoniformes; Salmonidae. The record is from RNAcentral.
AUGCAGCAAAUGAUGGACAGAAUUGGUCACUUUAAUCUCUCAGGGUUCAAAUACAAACAUACCCUCCUGCACUCUCUCUCUCUCCAUCCGUUUCAUGUUCCCACCCUCCUGCACUCUCUCUCUCCAUCCCUUUCAUGUUCCCACCCUCCUGCACUCUCUCUCUCCAUCCGUUUCAUGUUCCUACCCUCCUGCACUCUCUCUCUCCAUCCCUUUCAUGUUCCCACCCUCCUGCACUCUCUCUCUCCAUCCCUUUCAUGUUCCCACCCUCCUGCACUCUCUCUCUCUCCAUCCGUUUCAUGUUCCCACCCUCCUGCACUCUCUCUCUCCAUCCCUUUCAUGUUCCCACCCUCCUGCACUCUCUCUCUCCAUCCGUUUCAUGUUCCCACCCUCCUGCACUCUCUCUCUCUCCAUCCGUUUCAUGUUCCCACCCUCCUGCACUCUCUCUCUCUCCAUCCGUUUCAUGUUCCCACCCUCCUGCAGUCUCUCUCCAUCCCUUUCAUGUUCCCACCCUCCUGCACUCUCUCUCUCCAUCCGUUUCGUGUUCCUCUCUCCAUCCGUUUCGUGUUCCACCCUCCUGCGCUCUCUCUCUCCAUCCGUUUCGUGUUCCACCCUCCUGCGCUCUCUCUCUCCAUCCGUUUCGUGUUCCACCCUCCUGCGCUCUCUCUCUCCAUCCGUUUCGUGUUCCACCCUCCUGCGCUCUCUCUCCAUCCAUUUCAUGUUCCACCCUCCUGCGCUCUCUCUCUCCAUCCAUUUCAUGUUCCCACCCUCCUGCACUCUCUCCAUCCGUUUCAUGUUCCCACCCUCCUGCACUCUCUCCAUCCGUUUCAUGUUCCCACCCUCCUGCACUCUCUCCAUCCGUUUCGUGUUCCACCCUCCUGCGCUCUCUCUCUCCAUCCGUUUCGUGUUCCCACCCUCCUACACUCUCUCCAUCCGUUUCGUGUUCCACCCUCCUGCGCUCUCUCUCUCCAUCCGUUUCGUGUUCCACCCUCCUGCGCUCUCUCUCUCCAUCCGUUUCAUGUUCCCACCCUCCUACACUCUCUCCAUCCGUUUCGUGUUCCACCCUCCUGCACUCUCUCCAUCCGUUUUGUUUUCCACCCUCCUGCACUCUCUCCAUCCGUUUCGUGUUCCACCCUCCUGCACUCUCUCCAUCCGUUUCGUGUUCCACCCUCCUGCACUCUCUCCAUCCGUUUCGUGUUCCACCCUCCUGCACUCUCUCCAUCCGUUUCGUGUUCCACCCUCCUGCGCUCUCUCUCUCCAUCCGUUUCGUGUUCCACCCUCCUGCGCUCUCUCUCUCCAUCCGUUUCGUGUUCCACCCUCCUACACUCUCUCCAUCCGUUUCGUGUUCCACCCUCCUGCACUCUCUCCAUCCGUUUCGUGUUCCACCCUCCUGCACUCUCUCCAUCCGUUUCGUGUUCCACCCUCCUACACUCUCUCCAUCCGUUUCGUGUUCCACCCUCCUGCGCUCUCUCUCCAUCCGUUUCGUGUUCCACCCUCCUGCGCUCUUCCCUCUCCCUUUGUGCACUGUGA